UNGCCCUGAUAUUGUAGUAUUCGUAGGCU
RNAcentral lists this non-coding RNA (29 nucleotides) under Homo sapiens (human). The record is from RNAcentral. Lineage: Eukaryota; Metazoa; Chordata; Mammalia; Primates; Hominidae.